This 468-nucleotide ribosomal RNA is filed under the name uncultured bacterium. RNAcentral describes it as "partial 16S ribosomal RNA". It matches the Rfam family "Bacterial small subunit ribosomal RNA", at positions 28 to 507 of the family's 1533-position model. The record is from RNAcentral.
GACGAACGCUGGCGGCGUGCUUAACACAUGCAAGUCGAACGGAAAGGCCCUGCUUUUGUUGGGUGCUCGAGUGGCGAACGGGUGAGUAACACGUGUGUAACCUGCCCUUGACUUUGGGAUAACUUCAGGAAACUGGGGCUAAUACCGCAUAGGAUCUCCUGCUCCAUGGUGGGGGUUGGAAAGUUUCGGCGGUUGGGGCUGGACUCGCGGCUUAUCAGCUUGUUGGUGGGGUAGUGGCUUACCAAGGCUUUGACGGGUAGCCGGCCUGGGAGGGUGACCGGGCACAUUGGGCCUGAGGUACGGCCCAGACGCCUACGGGAGGCAGCAGUGGGGAAUAUUGCACAAUGGGCGGAAGUCUGAGGCAGCAACGCCGCGUGCGGGAUGACGGGCUUCGGGUUGUAAACCGCUUUCGACUGUGACGAAGCGUGAGUGACGGUAAUGGGUAAAGAAGCACCGGCUAACUACGUG